RNAcentral lists this ribosomal RNA (497 nucleotides) under uncultured bacterium. Its description in RNAcentral is "partial 16S ribosomal RNA". It matches the Rfam family "Bacterial small subunit ribosomal RNA", at positions 28 to 507 of the family's 1533-position model. The record is from RNAcentral.
GAUGAACGCUGGCGGCGUGCCUAAUACAUGCAAGUCGAGCGAACAGACGAGGACCUUGCUCCUCGGACGGUAGCGGGGGACGUGUGAGUAACACGUGGGUACCCUCCCUAUGAGAAUGGGAUAACUACGUGUAACCAGAGCUAAUACCAGCUAAUAUAUUAAACGGCGGGGUUCAAUAGUUAACGCCGGCUUUGCUGUCACUGAUAGAUGGAUCGGUGGCGGAUUAGCUAGUUGGUAAGGUAACAGCUUACCAAGGCGACGAUGCGUAGCCGGCCUGAGAGGACGACCAGCCACACUGGAACUGAGACACGGCCCAGACUCCUACGGGAGGCAGCAGUGGGGAAUUUUGGACAAUGGGCGCAAGCCUGACCCAGCCAUGCCGCGUGCAGGAUGAAGGCCUUCGGGUUGUAAACUGCUUUUGUACGGAACGAAAAAGCUCUCACGAAUACAGGGGGUGAAUGACGGUACCGUAAGAAUAAGCACCGGCUAACUACGUG